RNAcentral lists this transfer RNA (91 nucleotides) under Patescibacteria group bacterium. RNAcentral's name for it is "tRNA-Ser". It matches the Rfam family "tRNA". Rfam says of the family: Transfer RNA (tRNA) molecules are approximately 80 nucleotides in length. Their secondary structure includes four short double-helical elements and three loops (D, anti-codon, and T loops). Further hydrogen bonds mediate the characteristic L-shaped molecular structure. tRNAs have two regions of fundamental functional importance: the anti-codon, which is responsible for specific mRNA codon recognition, and the 3' end, to which the tRNAs corresponding amino acid is attached (by aminoacyl-tRNA synthetases). tRNAs cope with the degeneracy of the genetic code in two manners: having more than one tRNA (with a specific anti-codon) for a particular amino acid; and 'wobble' base-pairing, i.e. permitting non-standard base-pairing at the 3rd anti-codon position. The record is from RNAcentral.
GGAAGAGUGGCCGAGUGGUUGAAGGCGCGGCUCUCGAAAAGCCGUAUGGGUCAAAAGCUCAUCGUGGGUUCGAAUCCCACCUCUUCCGCCA